This 136-nucleotide small RNA is filed under the name Paenalicyclobacillus ferrooxydans. RNAcentral describes it as "Alicyclobacillus ferrooxydans c-di-AMP sequence". It matches the Rfam family "c-di-AMP riboswitch aptamer (ydaO/yuaA leader)". From Rfam's summary of the family: This family represents a conserved RNA structure found upstream of the ydaO and yuaA genes in Bacillus subtilis and related genes in other bacteria. The ydaO/yuaA element is thought to act as a genetic "off" switch for the ydaO and yuaA genes in its native state. The record is from Rfam by way of RNAcentral. Lineage: Bacteria; Bacillati; Bacillota; Bacilli; Caryophanales; Alicyclobacillaceae.
GAUUUUUCUAUGCACAGAUGGGACGGCGUACGGGGGAUUUUAGGUCCAAUCUGGACCUGGGGUGAAUCGCACAGCGACGGGUGACCUCGUGACCCGAACCCGACAACUAACCUCGGAAGCGAAAACGAGAGGAGAA